GUUUAUCGAAGCAGCCCAGCCCAUGGUAUUCUUACCCCAACAUCACAUCAUUAUAAAGCUUCUUCUCAACAUUCAAAUAGCUUUCAUUCCUAAGUUUCAUGGCAGUCUGCAAAAGCGAGGAUGUUUGCAGUUGAAGAAUACUUGUAGAUUGAAAUUUACUAGUAUUUCACCAAAAGAGACACGUGGAGAACAAUCCAUUCCUGUGUUGUGGAUGAGAAGAACAGUGGCGCCAAAGUGACAUGUUAGAUCGAAAGGUGUGUGAUCCUCGAGGAAAGCCUGCAGCUGCCAUAGUUGAAUGUGGUCCAUAUUAGCCUGGUGCAGCACAUUGCAGAUUCUAUACAUCAUUACCGAUGUGUGUAGAGAAGGCGUAAAACUUAUAUGCCCGUAUGAUGGAAGGGAGUGACCUUACGCUUUCCUCUUUCUGAGCUGUAGAAGGCUUUGCAGGGCAAAGUGCUAUAUCAAUUAAAUCAUACUUCCGUUCCAUUUCAUUUGUUUUCUUGCACAUCUGAUAGCUAUUGAAAUGUUGUUUACCACCGUGUCUUACUAAUCUAAUCUCAUUGCAUGCGAUCCAUUUCA
Molecule: long non-coding RNA, 576 nt
Organism: Cryptomeria japonica (Japanese cedar)
Lineage: Eukaryota; Viridiplantae; Streptophyta; Pinopsida; Cupressales; Cupressaceae
Exons: 2
Source: RefSeq, a predicted model, not a curated record